UUCAUGCUAUUGAUAUUGAAAAAAAGAGGUUGUUGCUAAGAAGACUGCGGCUAGCAAAAAAAACAUACAUCUCAGAGAUGCUUUUGCUACUUAGUUUUAUUUCUUUUUAAGUUAUGAAUUGGUUGUAUAUUUAGAAUCUUUAGAAGUUAAACAAUUAUAUAUCAAUGGAUUGUUGUACAUGUAUGGAUUGUUGUAUAUAAGGCUUGUUGAAUGUAAUAUGAAAAAGGGUUUCAAAUUAUACAGUUUUAGGUGUACUGCUUCAAU
RNAcentral lists this long non-coding RNA (264 nucleotides) under Lathyrus oleraceus (garden pea). Its description in RNAcentral is "Pisum sativum (pea) long non-coding RNA (PSAT_LNC022941)". The record is from RNAcentral. Lineage: Eukaryota; Viridiplantae; Streptophyta; Magnoliopsida; Fabales; Fabaceae.